AGAGUUUGAUCCUGGCUCAGAACGAACGCUGGCGGCAGGCUUAACACAUGCAAGUCGAACGCACCGCAAGGUGAGUGGCAGACGGGUGAGUAACGCGUGGGAACGUGCCCUUCAGUUCGGGAUAACCCAGGGAAACUUGGGCUAAUACCGGAUACGUGCGAGAGCAGAAAGAUUCAUCGCUGAAGGAUCGGCCCGCGUCUGAUUAGCUAGUUGGUAGGGUAAUGGCCUACCAAGGCGACGAUCAGUAGCUGGUCUGAGAGGAUGAUCAGCCACAUUGGGACUGAGACACGGCCCAAACUCCUACGGGAGGCAGCAGUGGGGAAUAUUGGACAAUGGGCGCAAGCCUGAUCCAGCCAUGCCGCGUGAGUGAUGAAGGCCUUAGGGUUGUAAAGCUCUUUCGUCCGGGACGAUAAUGACGGUACCGGAAGAAGAAGCCCCGGCUAACUUCGUGCCAGCAGCCGCGGUAAUACGAAGGGGGCUAGCGUUGUUCGGAAUCACUGGGCGUAAAGGGCGCGUAGGCGGCCUGAUAAGUCGGGGGUGAAAGCCUGUGGCUCAACCACAGAAUUGCCUUCGAUACUGUCGGGCUUGAGACCGGAAGAGGUAAGUGGAACUGCGAGUGUAGAGGUGAAAUUCGUAGAUAUUCGCAAGAACACCAGUGGCGAAGGCGGCUUACUGGUCCGGUUCUGACGCUGAGGCGCGAAAGCGUGGGGAGCAAACAGGAUUAGAUACCCCCGUAGUCC
This 740-nucleotide ribosomal RNA is filed under the name uncultured Hyphomicrobiales bacterium. Its description in RNAcentral is "bacterial SSU rRNA". It matches the Rfam family "Bacterial small subunit ribosomal RNA", at positions 8 to 796 of the family's 1533-position model. Lineage: Bacteria; Pseudomonadati; Pseudomonadota; Alphaproteobacteria; Hyphomicrobiales. The record is from RNAcentral.